RNAcentral lists this long non-coding RNA (519 nucleotides) under Homo sapiens (human). Its description in RNAcentral is "non-protein coding lnc-NR4A2-13:1". Lineage: Eukaryota; Metazoa; Chordata; Mammalia; Primates; Hominidae. The record is from RNAcentral.
AUGGCUUAUGCUUUAUUUUUAUUGAGUAUUCUUUUGGUUAUAGGGUUUGUAGGUUUUUCUUCAAAAUCUUCUCCUCUUUGUGGAGGCCUGGGGCUAAUUGUUGGUGGUGCUGUGGACUGUGGCAUCGUGUUGAAUCUUGGUAGAGCUUUUGUGGGUUUAAUAGUCUUUUUGAUUUAUUUGGGUGGUAUGAUGGUUGUUUUUGGUUAUACUGCGGCAAUGGCUAUUGAGGAGUAUCCUGAAACAUGAGGGUCAAGUAUUGACAUUUGAGGGGCUUUAUUAUUAGGGUUAUUAAUAGAGUUGCUGUUGGUUUGGUGAAUAGUUGAGUGCGAUGGGGUAGGGAUCACCAUUGAUUUUAAAAGCAUAGGGAGCUGAAUAAAUUUUGAGGGUGAGGGGGCAGGGUUGUUGCAUGAGGAUUCUGUGGGUGUGGCUGCCUUAUAUAGUUACGGGUGUUGAUUAGUGGUAGUUGCUGGUUGAUCACUGUUUGUUAGUAUUUAUGUUGCAAUUGAAAUUGCUCGGGGU